Molecule: transfer RNA, 113 nt
Filed under: Candidatus Bathyarchaeota archaeon
Lineage: Archaea; Thermoproteati; Candidatus Bathyarchaeota
Description: tRNA-Ser
Rfam family: tRNA
About the family: Transfer RNA (tRNA) molecules are approximately 80 nucleotides in length. Their secondary structure includes four short double-helical elements and three loops (D, anti-codon, and T loops).
Source: RNAcentral
GCGGGGGUUGCCUAGUGGCUAGCAGGGCAAGAAGCACGCCCACAAAAGGCGCUGGCCUGGAGAGCCAGUUCCCCGUUUGGGGAGCGUGGGUUCGAAUCCCACCCCCCGCGCCA